UACAGAGGUCUCAAGCGUUGUUCGGAUUCAUUGGGCGUAAAGGGUGCGUAGGCGGCCCUCUCAGUCGGAUGUGAAAUCCCCAGGCUUAACCUGGGAACGGCAUCCGAUACUGGAGGGCUUGAAUUCGGGAGAGGGAUGCAGAAUUCCAGGUGUAGCGGUGAAAUGCGUAGAUAUCUGGAGGAAGACCAGUGGCGAAGGCGGGUCUCUGGACAGUUCCUGACGCUGAGGCACGAAGGCCAGGGGAGCAAACGGG
Molecule: ribosomal RNA, 253 nt
Filed under: uncultured bacterium
Lineage: Bacteria
Description: partial 16S ribosomal RNA
Rfam family: Bacterial small subunit ribosomal RNA
Source: RNAcentral